GCGGCGGCGGCGGCGGCGGCGGCGGCGGCGGCGGCGGCGGCGGCGGCGGCGGCGGCUUGGGGCAGCGCCGCGGGGUCGCGGGGGAGCCAUCGGGCCGGGCCGGGCCGGGCCCCGCGGUGCCGGAGCGCGUCGGAAAGGCGGACCGGCGGCUGGCAGGGCUCGGGCAAAGAAACGUGGUGGUGGUGUCACGAUCCGUAUAAAAGAUGCGGGCUGGGGGCUGGCGGCUCCCGGGGACCGGAGGGUAGCAUCACGCGUGCUGUCACCGGGCGAAGGAAUUAGGGUGCAGGAGCUUGUUUUUGAAGCACUGGCACUUACACAGCGGCUGGACUGCCUAAGAGUCCGCUUGGAGCAGGGAAGUCACGCUUCCGCAGGCCCGAGAGGAUAAAGCUGUCAGAAAACCCCCCCAAAAGGCCCUUAUUUUACUUUCUAUUUCCUCACCUAUUAGCUGGUGCGCAAACACCAGACUUAAACACAUAUUAAGAUCCGCAGAUGCUCAUGGCCUUACCGGGGAAAGGCUAAGGGCUGCAAGGAGCACACGGCUGCAGGUGCAGCCGCCCUGACGUGGGAGAACUGCUGUGGAGGACGGGUGCCCGCGUCGAGCACCCUGCUGUCAGCCAGGUUGUCUCUACGCUGCCUGAGAGGAUCGCUUCGUUUUCAACAGCCACUUCUUGUCCGCAAGCGUUUCCAGGCUUUGACGGACGUAAGGGAUGGACUUCAGGGCAGAAAAAACAUCUGGAGAUUGUUCCCAAGGGGAAGAGAAACACAUCAGUUGAUCUCUGGGAGAUGCGGGGGUUUCUGACUUUCGGAUCCUGCUACGUUCUGGGCUGGAUCGUCCUCCCAGUGAGAGCUGUUUAGGAGCAGAAGAGCCUCUUACUCUCAGGACACCUGGAUUCAAUUCUUAGAGGAUCACAAAGGACAACUGUGUAAUUUGGCGAGUCACUUAGUAUAGAUGAGAUUCAGCUAAGGAGAUUUAGUCUUCCGUGAUGAUGUUUUCAAAAGUGUGAAGAGACCUUAACUGGAGAAGUGUAAAUACAUCCUGCCAAAAUAGAAUAAGGAGGUUUUAGUGGAAAUUAGAAUUGUUUGCUCUCUGGUUUAGUUCCUGUGCUUUAGCUGGUGCUUUAAUUGCCUCAUUGGGAUAUUGCAAGCAUGUUUUCAUCAAUGUAUGGAAAACUGAUGAAACCUGGGGAGAGAGACUGUACGAUAAAAGAAUUUUCCAGCCAGUGCCAGUUGUCAUGAGUGAGAGGCGCUCAAAGUUGAGUAGUUUGCCCCCGUAUAUAUGGAAUCAGCUAUGCAGUACAGGGUUAAAGAGAGUUAUAACCUACAAUUAAAAAACAAAACCUGAAAUGAAUGACAAUCGUGUAUAAAUACUUAACCUGAGCUUACAAACAGCAUCUGCCGAAGGGUGCUUUCACCAUUGCAGGCCCCUGGAUGAUGGAAUUGUGCUGGAAUGCAAACAUUUCCUACAAUUUCCUCUGGCAGGCUCCGCUUUGAAGUUCUGAUCCUGCAACUGUAGCGGGAGAUGCAAUAAUGACAAUAAGCAUGCUCCUAAAUCCUACAUAUAUUAGAGAUAUGGUGUCUGACUCACCACUGAAAAUACUCUAGCUUUUGUUUAUGUAUGUAUUUCAGUUUAUAUGGAAUUGCACUAGCAGUGAAAUAGAGUAAAGUGUAAUGGAUCAGACCCUAUGGUAUUUACUGAUUUGAGUUUUGUCUGUGGUUACUGUACUAGCAGGAAAUAUUCUGCCUGUGGUUUCUAUAUCCUGAGUGGAAAUGUGGUAUUCAAUAAAAUACGAUCUUAUUACGGCA
Long non-coding RNA from Dromaius novaehollandiae (emu), 1803 nucleotides. RefSeq lists it as uncharacterized. The transcript is spliced from 3 exons. The record is from RefSeq and is a predicted model, not a curated record. Lineage: Eukaryota; Metazoa; Chordata; Aves; Casuariiformes; Dromaiidae.